CCUGGUUUGCAUGCUGUUGUGGCGAUAGGUCUGCUGUCUUGCUGUUUGCACUUCAUCGUCGUGAAUUGUAAGAUGUCCAGCGAAUCUGAGACAGAUUUUCUGUGGAGCGACGAGGAUCUGGAAAUGUUCCAACCUAAAAAAAAAAAAAAAAAAAAAAAAAACAGAGGAUCGAAAAUUAUGUAGAGAAUGUGGUGCCACAAUAUGACAGGGAAUUUGUAGAACAUUUUCGGGUGCGGCGUCACGUGGCAGAUGAUAUUAGUGAAAGGUUUAGGAAUUUCAGAUUCUACAAUUAUCAGGCAGGGGGACAUGGGAAACUGCUCCCACUGCAGCAUAUAUUGAUCUUUUUGUGGUUCGCUGGCCACGAAGCUGCAGGUUUGAGAUGUCGCAGAUAGAUUUAACAUCUGUAUUUCUUCUCUGCGAUGCGUUAUACAGAGGGUUACUAACUUCACUAGUGAUUUGGGAAGAGAAUUUAUAAAGUGGCCAUCCGCCGAAGAAAGAGCAGAGAUUGAGGCUCAUUUCCGGGGAAAUGGAUUGCCUGGUGCGAUUGGGGCAAUCGACGGUUCACAUACUAGAAUUGAUAGACCUCAGAAAGAUCCCCAGUCCUAUAUGAACAGGAAGAAUUAUUUUUCUAUUCAGCUACAAGUAGUUUCUGACCAUAAUCGACGGAUUAGGGACUUAUUCGUCGGCUAUCCGGGCUCUGUACACGACGGGAGGGUGUUCAGGACGUCCACACUCUACCAAACACUGUAAGAGAAGUGUGGACUGUGGAGAUUUUCAUAUUUUGGGGACAGUGCCUAUCCCUGCACCAGAAAUUUAGUAACACCAUUUAGAAAUACAGGGCAUUUGUCCAGAGUGCAAUGUGAAUUCAGUAUGGCACUCUCAAAAAACAGGUGUGUUGUUGAACAUUGCUUUGACCUGUUAAAGCAGCGUUUCCGACAGUUAUAUCAUUUGAAAUUGAGGAGUGCUAGAGAGAUGGCGCACUUCAUCCGGGCGUGCUGUGUGCUACACAAUCUCGCCGUGGAAGAUAACGAAGGUGAAAAAGAUAAUGCACCGGCUGAAGAACGAGUAGUCUGCUUUUACAACAGGGAUGACAGAAGGGCACUUAUGCAGUUUAGCAGGUAC
Long non-coding RNA from Schistocerca nitens (vagrant locust), 1122 nucleotides. RefSeq lists it as uncharacterized. Lineage: Eukaryota; Metazoa; Arthropoda; Insecta; Orthoptera; Acrididae. The transcript has 3 exons. The record is from RefSeq and is a predicted model, not a curated record.